This 497-nucleotide ribosomal RNA is filed under the name uncultured bacterium. Its description in RNAcentral is "partial 16S ribosomal RNA". It matches the Rfam family "Bacterial small subunit ribosomal RNA", at positions 28 to 507 of the family's 1533-position model. The record is from RNAcentral.
GAUGAACGCUGGCGGCGUGCCUAAUACAUGAAAGUCGAGCGAACGGACGAGAAGCUUGCUUCUCUGAUGUUAGCGGCGGACGGGUGAGUAACACGUGGAUAACCUACCUAUAAGACUGGGAUAACUUCGGGAAACCGGAGCUAAUACCGGAUAAUAUUUUGAACCGCAUGGUUCAAAAGUGAAAGACGGUCUUGCUGUCACUUAUAGAUGGAUCCGCGCUGCAUUAGCUAGUUGGUAAGGUAACGGCUUACCAAGGCAACGAUGCAUAGCCGACCUGAGGGGGUGAUAGGCCACCCUGGAACUGAGACACGGUCCAGGCUCCUACGGGAGGCAGCAGUAGGGAAUCUUCCGCAAUGGGCGAAAGCCUGACGGAGCAACGCCGCGUGAGUGAUGAAGGUCUUCGGAUCGUAAAACUCUGUUAUUAGGGAAGAACAUAUGUGUAAGUAACUGUGCACAUCUUGACGGUACCUAAUCAGAAAGCCACGGCUAACUACGUG